Molecule: ribosomal RNA, 389 nt
Filed under: uncultured bacterium
Lineage: Bacteria
Description: bacterial SSU rRNA
Rfam family: Bacterial small subunit ribosomal RNA
Source: RNAcentral
AGAGUUUGAUCCUGGCUCAAAUUGAACGCUAGCGGGAUGCUUUACACAUGCAAGUCGAACGGCAGCGCGAACUUCGGUUUGGCGGCGAGUGGCGAACGGGUGAGUAAUAUAUCGGAACGUACCCAGUAGCGGGGGGUAACUACUCUAAAGAGUAGCUAAUACCGCAUACGCCCUACGGGGGAAAGGGGGGGAUCGCAAGACCUCUCACUAUUGGAGCGGCCGAUAUCGGAUUAGCUAGUUGGUGGGGUAAAGGCUCACCAAGGUGACGAUCCGUAUCUGGUUUGAGAGGACGACCAGCCACACUGGGACUGAGACACGGCCCACACUCCUACUGGAGGCAGCAGUGGGGAAUUUUGGACAAUGGGGGAAACCCUGAUCCAGCCAUCCCG